GUACUCCUUUUCUUUUUGAGGAUACAGACUAACACGGCUGCUACUCUGAAACCUAUAAAUAAGUUAGAUGUGGGGGAGAGGACUUUGCCACAGAUCACUUCCCAAUAUUUGCAUGACUGUUGACCUUAGUAAGCUAUGAUAGUCACAUAGGUAGGCAAUUAAUACUAUGCCAAAUUGUUAUGAGAAAAACUGACCUUGAUGAGCAGUUCAAUCUAUUUUACACAUUAUUUAGGUUCAGGUCAUUGUUUUUGUUCAGAAACACUAAAAAUCAUGGGGAGGUGUUAAUUUUAUAAUAUAAAAUUCCAUGUGCCUUCACUUUUGGUUGUACACUACAAACAUGGGUAUAUUCAGUCCUGAAGAGCACUUUCGUUGAUAUGUAUAUGGGGCAGAGCUAACAGUUUGCCCUCAGCUUUUUCCUGCCAUAUAAUCUUGGUGCAACAAGAACUGGGUGCUUCAAAGGGGGAAGUGCACUUGAGAACUAGGUACUUGCUCCUUAAACUUUCUGCAGUGCAGAAAUAAAAUCUUUAUACUAGAUUUUCUGUAAAGCAAACUGAAGGCUUGUUACAUUUACAAGAUUCUAGCUUGAGGCUCCUUGAGCACUAUAUUCCCAAGUGGGCACACGCUUCAUGCUACUACCUAUUUCCAAAUCUUGACUACAUUAACCAUUAGCGUAGCAGUUAUGAAGCCUUGUGUAACUUUCAUUUUGACUGAGUCAGGGGUUGAGCUUUUCAAGUCUAGAUCUGAUAAAGAAUUGCACAAAAUAAAGAAUCUUGAAUUGGUAUUCUGUUGGUGAUCUUGGACGACUAUUCAUUUUGUGUUAUAAAUUUCAAUGGACAAUUUAGCUUAAUACCAAAAAAAAACCCUCAUUAAUAACUGGGAGAACCAGUAAAAAUUACUGAAAUUGACAAUUGGUAAAUGUGCAUCACGAUGUAAUUCACAGUUUAGUUUUAAUUUGAUAUUUCACAACACACUAGUAAAUGGCUGUAAUAUGUCUAAAAAAGUAAUGAAGUCUUAGUGGUAUGAGACCUUCCCACAACACUAGAAAAUCUGAGUUAUGGUGGCACAGGCUAUUGGUACACUAUGGUGAGUAAAAGUGCAAAAUUAGCAAGGUUCUACUGUAGUUAUUCCAAAUGACUAGCUAAUCAAAGUUCUGCUUGUGCUAUCGGACUAAAGACUUUUAUUUCACCUCUUGGCUUUCACAUUCCACUCCUUUUUAUUUGAGCUAAAACAAGUUUCUCUGUGGGGAAGGAGGUUACUCUUGGUACCCUUGUUUCAGGAUAUUCAUAGUCUACUGGUAUUCUUAAAUGUAUGUAUUUGAAUCGGCAAAUAUAUUGCUGAGGAAGAUGUGAAUUGAACUAAAACAAUUUGUAUGGUACAAAAAAACUGUAGCACUUACUAGUCUUUUUUUAAUGGUACACUUGAAAUAUUGAAUGUUUAUCCAUUAUUCAAUUUUUAUGAUAGUGUGAUGCAGCAAGCCUGUAACUUAACCAUUUGAUCACUUGUAUUGCAUCUUUGCCUGAAAUAUUAGAGGCCUGGAUGCCUGUCAGUUUUUAAUAUAAGUUUGUUUUUUUAUGGGUGUUUAUCUGAAUGGAUAUUUGAGCUAAGAAUCUGCAGAAGUCAAACUUUAAUUUUACUGAAAUAAACAAAUGCCAGUGA
Long non-coding RNA from Dermochelys coriacea (leatherback sea turtle), 1656 nucleotides. RefSeq lists it as uncharacterized. The record is from RefSeq and is a predicted model, not a curated record. Lineage: Eukaryota; Metazoa; Chordata; Testudines; Dermochelyidae. The transcript has 2 exons.